RNAcentral lists this transfer RNA (87 nucleotides) under Peptoniphilus duerdenii ATCC BAA-1640. It matches the Rfam family "tRNA". Rfam says of the family: Transfer RNA (tRNA) molecules are approximately 80 nucleotides in length. The record is from Rfam by way of RNAcentral. Lineage: Bacteria; Bacillati; Bacillota; Tissierellia; Tissierellales; Peptoniphilaceae.
GCAGGGAUGACCGAGUGGCUGAAGGUGCACGCCUGGAAAGCGUGUAUACGAGAAAUUGUAUCGAGGGUUCAAAUCCCUCUCCCUGCG